CAUUGGCCAGGCUGGUCUCGAACUUCUGACCUCAAGUGAUCCACCCGCCUUGGCCUCCCAAAGGCGUGAGCCACCACACACAGUCAAAUCAUUAGAAUUUUAAGUAAUUCAAAUUGGAAUGAUUAAUUCCAAUAAUUAGAAUUAAGUAAAUUUAAAGUAAACAAUGCUACCAUCUCAAAGAGCAAAUUAAUUGCAUUAUGUGGUAGCUGUCUAAUAGAGUAGCUGCUGGCUAUGUAUGGCUAUUGAGUAUUGGAAAGGGAGCUAGUCUGAAUUAAGAUGUGCUGUAAGUAUGAAAUGCACAUUGGAUUUUAAAGACUUCAUAUCAAAAAGUAAAAUAUCUCAAUAUUUGUAUGUAGAUUACAAGUUGAAAUUUUUGUGUAUAUUGAGUUAAAUCUCAAAAUUAAUUUCAUCUUUUUAUCUUUUUAAAUGUAGCUACUGGAAAAGUUGAAAAUUAACAUGCAGCUUGCUUAUUUCUGUUGGACAACACUACUGUAGACCAGCGGGUCUCAAACAGAGCAGAGAGUUUAUGAACACACAGAUUGCUGGGCCCUAAAAAUUUAGUUCCUAGUUAAGUACCUUUAUAUUUUGCUUAGAAAGAUUAUACUGUAUUUGUUAAUGUUUAUUUGAAUUGUGAAGUGUGAAGUAACUUUCUGAUUCAGUAGGUCUGUAUGAGGUCUGAGAGUUUGAAUUUCUGACAGGUUCCCAGGUGGUACUGGAUGCUGCUGAUCCAAUGACCACAUUUUAAGAACCACUGCUUUAGACCAGGCCCUAAGUAGGGCCAGAUAGGGGGAAAUAGUUUCAAAGCAGCAUGAUGCCACCGCUCGACUGAAGGCCAAGGAGCUGCCUUUGGGUAAUGGAUGGCACCUCCUCUUCAUAAAGUCCAUUUCUUCAGAUGCCUCCUGUGGUGGAUGAACCUUUGCAUAUGUCAUUAAGUGCUUAUGUUGUCAACUGCUCCAUCUCAGAAAAAAAGUUUUCUCUUGACAGUGGAGUGUGAGCACACAGAGCACUCAAGGUCUAACCAGGUUAAUAGGUAGGAACAGCUAUAAAUCAGAGUCCCCAGCACUGUCUGCACUAUUUUAACUGAGAUGAUAGGAAAAUAGGUAACAAGUUUAACCCCCCAUGGCAACUGCUGUACUGAUAUCUUCACAUACACUUUACACUUGUAUAAUAACAUAUUUCAACUUUCAAAAGUGGCCUCACAUCUAUCAUCUCAUUUUACUCUAACAAGGACCCCACCCACCUCCCGGAUCUUUUAAUAUCAUAACCAGAAAGAGCUGACUAAGUCAACAAGGGAAGGUACCAUGCUGGGUGCUUUAUACAUAUGACUUCCAGCGCUGACAACGAUCCAUUCUGGUAGAUAUUAUUGUCUCCUUGUAAUAGGGCCCAGCUGGGAUUGAACUGAAGUGUGUCUAGCUCUAAAACCCUUGUACUUUCAACUGGGUCAUCAUACACUUAUCCUAUGUUCUAAUUCAUUAUUAAAAGUCAAUCUUUCCUAUGGAUAAUGGUUACUUUGAGAGGUGGGGGUAGUGACCAGAAAGGGAUGUAAAGGGGGUUGCUGGUAAUGUUGUUUUUUCAUUUGGAUACUACUUAGAUGAGCGUGUACCCUUUGGGAAAGCCCACUGAGUUGUACACUUAGGAUUUGUGCACUUUAUGUAUGUUUGUAAGAAAUAUUUCAAUAGGAAACAUUUUAAAGCUAGUUUUUCUUUUGAAGGUGUAAGCUUUUUACUUACUUGUCUCCAAAAUCUAACUCUUUAUGUGCCUGUAUGUUGCAGUGGAAAAAGUGAGCUCAUGAUCAUUUUGCUUAUUUACAAUGGAUAAAUGAGAUCCAAAUACACAGAAUCAAGGGAAGGAGUUGCUUCUUCUAAGAGUGAUGCUUAAUCUUUUGGGUCAUGGAUGAAUUGAAGAUUUGAUUAAAGUUACAAUAAAAAGAGAAAUAAUCAAAGCACGUACAUUCUGUAUCACGAACGGUGCCAAACUCUUUAUAUAUAUUAGCUUCUUUCAGCUGUAUCAUAACACUGAGAGGUGGAUGCUAUUAUUUCCUUGUUACCCCUCUACCACACACACACACACUCUCUCUCUCACACACACACACACGCUCGCACACACAGAGUUUUCCCUGUUAUUUCAGGGAGCUCAUGAAUGUCCUAAGGUACAUUAUCCGGAGACACAGCUUAAGAGCCCCUAUCAGGUUGAAAAAAAAUGACAGAAGAAAAAAAUUUUUAAAGCAAUGGAUUAUGGAAAAGGACUCAGAUUGUUAAUUCAAUUAAGUUGUAGUUUGUCAUUUUACAUUCUUUUGUUUCUCCUAUAAAGCUUGAUGUCAUGUAAUUUUUCUUUUCUUUUUUUUUUUGAGACAGUCUUGCUCUGUCUCUCAGGCUGGAGUGCAAUGGCACAAUCUUGGCUCACUGCAGCCUUGACCUCCGAGCCCAAGCAAUCCUUCUGCCUCAGCCUCCCGAGUAGCUGGGACUAAAGUCAUGUGCCACCACACCUGGCUAGUUUUUAAAUUUUGUUUGUUUGUUUUGUUUUGUAGAGAUGAGGUCUCACUAUAUUGCUCAGGCUGGUCUUGAACUCCUGGGCUCAAGCAAUCCUCUCAUCUCAGCCUCCCAAAGUGUGGGAUUAUAGGUGUGAGCCACAGCACAUGGCCUCCUUUUACAUACAUUUUACUUUAUAAUAUUUAAUAUACUCAAACAUAUAUGAAGCAGUCAUACAUUAUAAAGCAUAAUAAAAUGCAUAAAGUCCUGUGAACCUAUAACCCAAUAUAAGAAUUAAAAUAUUGCCAAUACUCUUAAUACUAUCUUUGUAUUCUAUCCUUAUCCACUUCCCUCCCUUCCUUCUAGAAGCAUCUACUGCCCUGAAUUGGUGUUUAUCACAUCUUUGCUUUUUUAUCUUUGUAUUUCAAUGCAUAUAAAAGCACUUCUUUGCUUUUUAAAGAAUAGUGUUAACACAUAUAUAUGAAUACCUAAAUAUCAUUUUGUUUUGCUUGACACAUCAAUUGAGUUAUUGCUUGACACAUCAAUAAUUUAAAGUUGUGGGCCAGGCACGGUGCCUCACGCCUGUAAUCUCAGUACUGUGGAAGGCCGAGGCGGGUGGAUCACCUGUGGUCAGGAGUUCGAGACCAGCCUGGCCAACACGGUGAAACCCCAUCUCUACUAAAAACACAAAAAUUAGCCGAGCAUGGUGGUGUGUGCCUGUAGUCCCAGCUACUCGGGAGGCUGAGGCAGGGGAAUCGCUUGAACUCGGGAGGCGGAGCUUGUAGUGAGCCGAGAUCGUACCACUGCACUCUCAGCCUGGGUGACAGAGCGAGACUCCGUCUCAAAAAAGAAAAAUAAUAAUAAUAAUAAUAAUAAAGUUGUGUGUUGUAUCUUCUACCAUGAUUGUAAUUUUUAAAUAUAUUGUCAGUUUUACAAAAUCUGAUUGUCAUAUCUUUCUGGUGAAUUCAAGUUUUCAUCAUUGUGUAGUGACUCUCCUCAUAGCAUAGUAAUUUUUUGUCUCAAAGUUGAUGGACUCUCAUGUUCAUAUAGCUGACUCAACCCUUUGCAGAUGUUGUUUUGCCAUGUAUUGUUUUCUAUAACUUUCUUUGAAACUUUUUUCGUUCUUAUAUUUUAGGGGUAUCACUUAUGAAUAUCAUAUAGAUUUAUUUUUGUUUUAUUCUGUCAAUCUUGUCUUUUAAUGAGUGAGUUCAGUCUACUUUCAGGAAUUAUGAUUACAGAUGCUCCUCAAUUUACGAUGGAGUCAUGUCCGAAUAAACCCAUUACUAGUUGGAAAUAUAGAAAGUUAAAAAUGCAUUUAAUAUACUUAAUCUAUUGAACAUCAUAGUUUAACCUAGUCUAACUUAAAUAUGAUCGGAACACUUACAUAGCCCCUAGUUAGGAAAAGUCAUCUAACACAAAGUUUAUCUUAUAAUAAAGUGUUGAAUAUCUCACGUAAUUUAUUGAAAAUGCUACUGAAAAUGAAAAACAGAAUGGUUGUAUGGGUACUAGAAGUAUGAUUUCUACUGAAUGUCUAUCACUUUCACACUUUCACACUGUCAUAAAGUUGUCAUAAAUUUAACUAAUGUAAGUCGGGGACUGUCUGUAUUAUAUAUUUGGACUUUUCUAUAUCUCCUCUUCACUUUAUUCUAUUUGUCUAACUUUUCAAGGUUUAUUUCCCCUUCUAAUUAUUUUUGAGUUGAUAGGAAUUUUUAAAAACAUCUAUAAAUGGCAGAUUGUCAUUUCCAAAAGUGACUGCAGCAGUAACUCCUAACUCAUAUGUUUUAUACAAAGUGACCUUGCUGCUCCUUAUUAAGAGAAGAUGAUUUCUCUUGUUCGUGGAAUGUGGCCAGCCUUGUCAUCGCUUUUCCUGGUUAAAGAUGGCAAAAGUGACUGCCAGUGCUGGGCAUAGUUUUUAAACAGCUUGGCAGCUUCUGCUUCCUGCGUCUGAGAAUGCUGGUUCUUGGGAUGCACCCUCUUGGAACCCAGCUGCAGGAUCAUGAGCACCCCAAAACACAUGGAAAAACCACAUGUCGCCAAUCCUGUCAACAUCAGCUGAGCUCGGAGCUGGCUGCUACAAUCAACUGCCAGUCCUGCAAAGGAGCCUUCAUGGACAUUAGCCCAGCUGCCAUCUGACUACAACUGUGUGAGAUACCCCAAGGGAGAACUACUCAGCUGAGUCCAGUCAGCCUGCAGGACCUUGGGAAAUAGGAAUAAACUGUUUUCAGCCACUAAAUGUUCGGCUUGCUUUUAAUGAGCAAUCAAGAACUGGGAUGAAUGUGUGGCUUUAGGACCAAACAGUGGAUUGAAACUUCCAGGGUCUUGAAGAGAUGAAAAAUAAAAGCCAGAAAGGC
RNAcentral lists this long non-coding RNA (4819 nucleotides) under Homo sapiens (human). RNAcentral describes it as "non-protein coding lnc-OSTC-2:1". Lineage: Eukaryota; Metazoa; Chordata; Mammalia; Primates; Hominidae. The record is from RNAcentral.